Molecule: ribosomal RNA, 253 nt
Filed under: uncultured bacterium
Lineage: Bacteria
Description: partial 16S ribosomal RNA
Rfam family: Bacterial small subunit ribosomal RNA
Source: RNAcentral
GACAGAGGGUGCAAACGUUGUUCGGAAUUACUGGGCGUAAAGCGCGUGUAGGCUGCUCUGCAAGUCGGGUGUGAAAGCCCCGGGCUCAACCUGGGAAGUGCACUCGAAACUGCAGAGCUCGAGUCCUGGAGAGGAAGGCGGAAUUCUCGGUGUAGAGGUGAAAUUCGUAGAUAUCAGGAGGAACACCGAUGGCGAAGGCAGGUCUCUGGGCUGACACUGACGCUCAUGCACGAAAGCGUGGGGAGCAAACAGG